AGUGAACGCUGGCGGUAGGCCUAACACAUGCAAGUCGAACGGCAGCACAGUAAGAGCUUGCUCUUACGGGUGGCGAGUGGCGGACGGGUGAGGAAUACAUCGGAAUCUACUUUUUCGUGGGGGAUAACGUAGGGAAACUUACGCUAAUACCUCAUACGACCUACGGGUGAAAGCAGGGGAUCUUCGGACCUUUCGCGAUUGAAUGAGCCGAUGUCGGAUUAGCUAGUUGGCGGGGUAAAGGCCCACCAAGGCGACGAUCCGUAGCUGGUCUGAGAGGAUGAUCAGCCACACUGGAACUGAGACACGGUCCAGACUCCUACGGGAGGCAGCAGUGGGGAAUAUUGCACAAUGGGCGCAAGCCUGAUCCAGCCAUACCGCGUGGGUGAAGAAGGCCUUCGGGUUGUAAAGCCCUGUUGUUGGGAAAGAAAAGCAGCAGGUUAAUACCCCGCUGUUCUGACGGUACCCAAAGAAUAAGCACCGGCCAACUUCGUG
This 492-nucleotide ribosomal RNA is filed under the name uncultured bacterium. RNAcentral describes it as "partial 16S ribosomal RNA". It matches the Rfam family "Bacterial small subunit ribosomal RNA", at positions 29 to 507 of the family's 1533-position model. The record is from RNAcentral.